Cyanistes caeruleus (blue tit) is the source of this 1552-nucleotide non-coding RNA. The record is from RefSeq and is a predicted model, not a curated record. Lineage: Eukaryota; Metazoa; Chordata; Aves; Passeriformes; Paridae.
ACCAGCCUUGGGGAGCUGUACCUCCUCAACUCAGUCUUUGUGGCCCAGGUCUGCAUGAAUUUUAGGUAGCUCUGAAAAAGAGCAUGGGAAAAUAGGGAGUAUGUUCAGUCAGGAAUUUAUUUUGGCUGCAGUUGUGAGAACAUGCAAAUGACUCCAAAGUCAUUCAUGUGGAAGGAGCAACAGCAGACCUUCAAGUGCCUUUCAUAAGUGAUGAUGUGGAAGUUUCAGACAGACAAGUCCUUUUAAUAUCCAAAAGAUAGAAGAGGGACAGAACACCCUUUCAUUAGGGGGUAAAUGCUGUAAUUCAGGACUUCAGAAUCAUGGAAUUCCAAGUGGAAGGCAGCAUCUCCUCUAAUUCAAAAAAAGAAGAUGGAAAAAGUGAUUCAGAAAAAACAGGAGACUUGAUUGAUUUUUGCAUGAAGAUAUAACAAAGUAGACCUUAAAUAACACUUUCUCAUAUUUUGUAUUUUCUCCUUUCUCUCUGUCUCCCCUUCCUGCCUACCAUUAAUCCUUUACUGUUUCCUUUUCUCUUUGAUUUUUUCCCCUCUUUCACUUCUGCUCUUUUACUUUCUUCCUGCACUCUUAUCCCUCUAUUCAACCAUGGGCAUUCAACUCACUUGCCCAGUAUAAUCCUUAAAAUCCUCCUUAAAUGGAAGAUUUGGCUGCAAACUCAUUCAUAGCUACAUUUUUCUUUCCCAAUAGAACAAAAUAUUUAUCCAGAAAGGCAUGAUAGGAAAGCUAGGAUCCUCUGUUUCUGAAAAUAGAGUCUUUGAACUUUUCAGCCAGAGGAAGUUUUCUGUUGGCUAUCACUUAUAAAAAACUGUUGGCUUUGUUCAUUUUUGUUCUUAUUCGCUAAAGUUCAACAAGCUAAAAGAAAUAUCUGGGCCUUGAUCCUUUCUAUUGAAAGCACAAAGGAGAAAGAGGGGACUAGAAAGGAAAACUAUUGGGUUACACUAAGCUAGUGUGUGCUCUUCCAGACUGAAAGAGCAAGAUUAAGGAUGAGAUGUGGAUAGGAUGAGGCAAGAGAUACGGAAAUUCUCCCUAAAGGCUCUGUACUUGUCUGCUUGCUGUUAAUAACCUUUUUAGCUUCAACAUGCCAGAAGCUCUCUGCACUACCUGCCUUUCUAAAAGGAUAGAAGACACUUUAAAUAAUUCCAAAUUGAGUCAUGUUAAGAAAAAAGAAGUAAAAAAAUGAGAAGCCAGCAAGCAAGUGGGUUCCUUGGUGUGGCUCAGAAGUGCUGGAGCAGGUGACUCACCCCUGGGGGGGCAGCCAGUACUGUGUUGGCCAGUGUUCCACUCUUGCCCUGGCAUCUGAGAUUCAUGUUCCAACUAGCCCUUAAACUGGGAAGUACUCAGGGAUGCUGCUAGGUCACUUUUUAAUUAAAAUCCAAAAGAUUCUAGGAAUACAUUGGGAAAUUCAUAAAAUAAUUUUACUUGUAACUGUUUUACUAUUGUCCCUAUUCCUCUUCACUAAACCUCUCUCUUCUAAGGAAUCAGAGACAAGUCUCUCACCUUGCAAAUAAAAGCCUGGUUCCCAACAAAUGAUAUGCUG